GUGUUACUGCUGUCCUCUGCUCUGCCCUUUGCAGGCACAGACAGAACCGGGCUUCCGCAGCUGCAGACUCCUGUUGUAAGAAGAGGAGAAUGUUGUACCCAAGAAAUAAGAUGUGAGCAGAACAAGGGGAGAUCAGAGGCAGUAAAGCCAAAUUUGGAUGGAAUUUAAAGAUUUGUCAUCCCACAAACACUGCAUGAUAAUGGAUUCCUGCUUGGGCUUUGCAUUUGCUAAAGGACAGUGGUGAUAGAAGAGGUAAGAACUGUGAGAGAAGAUGGCUUUAGGCUCCCAAAAGUUAUCUACCAGCCCCCAGCUGCAAGAACAUUAGUUUCAUGUUGCCAACAGGACAAGAGUGAGGGCAUUGGUCUUACUGCAAUGAGAGAAAGGGGCCUGAAGUUAAGGACUUUUUAUUCUAUUUAUCCACCAACAGGAUGUAUGAGCAAACCAGAUAUUAAAAAGAUAAUUUAGAAAGCACAUUACACAUUUACCUUUCAUGGAACUCUUAAAUUAUUUGUGUUUCUCUUCAGUAGCUUCAAAACUGCAUUGAGCACUGGAGAUGAAAUAGAAGAGUUUCUAUUUGUGGAGCUUUGAGAUUUCUCUUCGAUGUUCCAUUCUUUCAAUUUUCUUCUUGUCCAGUAAAGUUCUAAUUCUUGUUUAUAUCAGUCUUUGUUGUCAUGGAAAUAUCUGAAGGCUUUGAACCUACAAUCAUUAUGUGUUUAUUGUGGAGAGAAGAAGAGACUGGAAAACAGACUGUAAGGUAGAAAUUAAUUUUAAAAUGAUGCACCUCCAAAACUCAGAGAAAAGCAAAUUCAGGGUUUUUUUAUUGUAUCCAGGGACAGAAGGUGUUUUGACUGCUGUUGUAAAUGUGGUUUAGAGCAGGAGGUAGCACCUGGUGUAUGCUUUCAAAGGUUAUGGUUUAGCAACUCUCAUCACUGAGGAGUGCUGUUGGAAUAGCAGUAAUCCCACUUAAUAAAGUAAAACACAGAAUGAGCUCAAAUUACCUUACAGAUGUUUAUAUAGCAGUAAUAUCUGCAAGCAGACUUCAAAACACUGCUAGUUUAUUAAUCAGCAAAGUCACUAAUUCUGAGGUUUAGACUCAGCUCACUGGGUGACACCUGGGCAUUGUGUCCCUCUUCCUCAGACUCACUCCCAACUCCAGAGAGAGAACACAAUCCCUUGGUGCAGUGCUUCCACCCCUGCCAUGGGCAAGGACACCUUCCACCAUCCCAGCUGCCCAUCCUGCCUGGCCUUGGGCACUGCCAGGGAUCCAGGGGCAGCCACAGCUGCUCUGGGCACCCUGUGCCAGAGCCUCAGCACCCUCACAGGGAACAAUUCCUUCCCAAUAUCCCAUCUAAUCCUGCCCUCUGGCAGGCUGAGUCCAUUCCCCUUUGCCCUGUCAUUCUGUGCCCUGGUGAAAAGUCCUUUUCCAGCUCUCUUGGAGCCUCUUCAGGUCCUGGAAGAUGCUGUAAGGUCUCCCAGAGCAUUCUCUUCUCUAGGCUGAACAAACAUCUUCUAAUGUAGUUUGGUAAUGGGUAAAGAUCAGAUGUUUUGCUACUAAAUAAGAAUUCCCAGUGAUUAAAUAAUUGUUAAAGCCCAGAAACAUGAGAAGUACCUCAAGGGAAACGCUCAGAAUUUUGUCCUCUGGUCACAAGAUCAUUUUCAGGGAUUUCUUCAGCCUACUGCUUCCAGAUGCUGCUCACCAGCUGGGAUCUGGAAGCCAGUGACAUGGAAUUACACAACAUGGCAUUGCUCAAUGGCUUGGAUUUUGUCCUUUGCAUUGCAACCAUCUUUGCCAUUUAGUGGAUUAUAUCUGAUACCAAUCAAUGUCAGGGAAAUGAUCUAAGACAGGGCUGAUAUGGAAGCCAUAGGAUGACACCAAUAAUCACUGUGAGACUAAAUAACUAUUCAGUAAAAACGUUUUAUAUAAAAGUCAUGUAGAAAAAUUUACAAUAUUCACAUGUUAACACAAUCUAAUUUGCUACAUAUGUCAUUCAGCAUAAAGUGAGAUGAAAAGUGUGAGUCAGGACACAGCACAAACAGAACUUGCUCUAUUUUUCCAUUCUUCUUUAAAGGUGUCCUGUCUGAUAUCCCUGGAUAAUCUUCCCCUAAUAUAACAUCUGGCAAACAUGCCUUCAGAUCACUCAGAAAAUUACUAUUUGGUGUGAUUCCUGUUGCAAUAUGCCCUGCAUGCAGUGAUCAAAUCUGAUAGCAGGGGUCAGUCCUGUGCUGAAAGCACCAAGCCCAGUCCAUGUGCAAGGAGAGCCUACAAAAGUCAUUUCUCCAAGGUAGCAGAUAUACAGGUAUGUAGGGAAUGGCUCUGUUCUCCAGCCUUUCCAGCUGGGAGAAAAUUUCUGAAUUAAACACUGAAAUCAGAGUGAAAACUGCAGAAAUGUUUUCUGUUCUCUGUCCAAACAGAUGAUUUGAGAAGGAGGAAGACCAAAGUGUUCCAGUAAAUGGUGAAGAAUUUCACAUAGUUGAUUGCCACUGAACACAGCACGUGUGACACUGUUAAACAGCAGGCAGAAGUUAAACCUCAUUAUUUUCAGCUUACUCUGGUGUUUCUUGGCUCUAACCUGCCAAAAGAAGGGUAUUCCUGAAAUUCUUCUCUUGCUGGU
Molecule: long non-coding RNA, 2612 nt
Organism: Serinus canaria (Common canary)
Lineage: Eukaryota; Metazoa; Chordata; Aves; Passeriformes; Fringillidae
Exons: 2
Source: RefSeq, a predicted model, not a curated record